This 584-nucleotide long non-coding RNA is filed under the name Physcomitrium patens. RNAcentral's name for it is "long non-coding RNA (PPAT_LNC000975)". Lineage: Eukaryota; Viridiplantae; Streptophyta; Bryopsida; Funariales; Funariaceae. The record is from RNAcentral.
UAUUCUUCUCAUAUAUCUGCUAUCAUAUAAUGUGAAGCCUUGCUCAAGAAUGCACUGGGCACCUAACUAAAGAAGAUAGAAUGGAAAUUACUACAAUAAAAUUUUAAUUCCAAUAGAAUACUAAAUAUAUUAUAAUUAAACCUUAAAAAUAUUAAAUAAGCUUUAAUCAAAUUAAAAAGAAACCUUAAAUAAAUCACAAGAAAAACAAUUAGAAAUCUUAAGUGAAUUGAAAGAAAAUCCAUAAUAUUCUUAAAAGAAUCCUUAAAAAAUCCUAAAAAAUAUUAAAAUAAUUAUAAAGAUAUCUUAAAUAAAUCUCAACCAAGUUCUAAUUUAAUCCUUUUUGAAAUCUUAAUAGAUUCAAUAAAAUCUUAAACAAAUCUUCAAUCCUAAAUUGAAUCCUAGAUAAAUUCUAAAUCCUAAAUCAAAUCCUAAAUCAAAUCCUAAUCAAAUCUUAAGCAACUUAAUUUAAUCCUAAUAUUAUUUAGAACCUCAAUAUCUAUCAAUCAAACCAUUGAUCUUCCUUAAAAAUUUAUUUACUUUUCAAAAAAUAAGUUAACAACAAGCACACAAAUUUUGAAGAUAAU